This is a long non-coding RNA of Mirounga angustirostris (Northern elephant seal), 3928 nucleotides long. RefSeq lists it as uncharacterized. The record is from RefSeq and is a predicted model, not a curated record. NCBI's taxonomy places the organism in Eukaryota, Metazoa, Chordata, Mammalia, Carnivora, Phocidae. The transcript has 2 exons.
AGAGAAGCCCCAUGUACUAGAAAGCAUGCUUCCUGAGGGUUGGGGUUUGGUUUUUCUUCACUGGAUGCUCAGUUCCUGCCCAGUUGAACAGUGCAGUGCCAGCAUUUGAGACCUGUGGUCGGCCCUGGAGGGACAGGGCGAAGCGGCUGCGAGGGCAAUGCCACCUGGAAGCACCUUUUCAGAGAACCCGACGGUGGGAUUGUCAUGGAAGAUCUGAUCAGGGAAGGAGGAGAACCUGACAGGGAGUAAUUGCCUGUUUCAGGGGAAGGUGCUGCUCCGUGGUAGAAACCGUGGAGGAGGUGCACAUGGGGCUGAAUGGGUGUCCUGGUUUUUAUCAGACUCCGGAGAUGUGCAGGGAGGGGGCUCUUCAUAGGGGUGCAGCUCUGUAUGUGCACGGAAUUGGCGUCUUCCCUCUGGGUGCCCGCAGCUGCUGACAGGGAUAGCUACCAGCCCUGCCUUGGGGACAUAAUGCAUUCAGGUGGCCGUGGAGCCAGUGGGGGGGAGAGAGUGACAGCAUGCCUUGUCAAGGGACUUGUGGCGCCUGAGUGCCUGGAGCACUCUUGGACCCUGCGAGACCUGCCACAUGCAGAUCAGGCCUCCCCACCAGCAUGCCCCUUCAGACUGCAGGAGGGAGGAUACCGUCCUGAAAUGUGGUUGCUGUGCUUGUUUCCUGUUUCCUAUUCAUUCACAUAUUUUGGGCGCCCCACCUGGGUGCCAGGUACUGUUCUGCGGAUUUCCGCAGAGAACUGAACAAGAAGCCUGGAUUCUGGCAUAAGCCUGGAGCUUCAGAAGGCAUGAAAUGUCCUGGCUGAAGCGAUGCUGAGGGUUGCGGCACCAGCAGAAGCCGGGGAGUAUACAUCUCACCAGUGCAGUGAAAGGCGUGUGCUGAUGGCUUUGGAAGCACAGACUAGCACCCACCCCUCUCGGGUCCUGCCCACAGGGGUGCUUGGUCGGUUGGGAGCUGGACACACAGACGGCGGCUGUGGCUGAGCUUACCUAUGAGGAGGACUGGUGGGGACCGGGAAGGCUGUCCAGGAGGGAGUGUGACGGGGCCGGCAGGUUUCAGGUUCCUGCUGCAUCCCAGGUCUCCCCCUCACUUGUGUAGGGGCAGGAGCUUCACAUUUCCUCAAGGCAGGUAACCAGAUGCCUGCUUAGUGAGAACGGCUUACCUGCAGAGCUUAGCCACUUGCCUCCUUCUGAAUCUCUUCUCACUGACUGGCUGUGUUAGGGUUUAAAAAACUUUUAUUUUGUGUUUAGAGAAUUUUAAUAAUGAAUGUUAUUUAAAAACUCCUAUAAAGACUAAAAGUAUAUAUUUGUGGAAAUUAUUUUGUGUUCCAGAAUUACUCAAAGGAACUUUUGUACGAUUCAAAACCUUAUUUUUAGGGUUUUCACAAAAGGUGCCCAAUGCUGGUGGUUAUACUGGGCCAUGUAGGACUCUGAGUGUCUUUGUUAUCACUUGUCAGCCACAGGGUAUGUAAUUAGGGUUCAGGGUUUGCCUGUGCCUUGGAGCUUGAAGCUGGGCUCCCAGAAACCAGACCCAAGGGAGGGGGUGUGAGGCCUACUGGGGUCUGCAGUGGCAAGAACACCACCUCUUCUACCAGUUGUGGUCUCCAGUGUGGGACAUCCGGGUGCAGUGUAGAACCAUAGACUCAGAGGAAUGGCACAAAGAUGUGUUAACUCUCGUUUUCUAAAGAUGGUUUAGGAGACACUUGGAGAUGUGAUGCCCUAAAGAGGUGCUACCGAAUGUUGCCACCUGGAGAUGGAAGUUGGGUGAAUUGCCAUUGGAUUAGCACCCUCCCUAACCAGCUCCUAAGGCAGGAGGGGAGGGAUGGUUGUGAUGUUCUGGGAGUGCAUGCAUCUUAUGCCACCGAGCCUUGGGUGAGCACUCUUAGUGAUCCCCAGGACUCUGCUAUGGUAGCCACAAGGGCAUGUGGAGGUGAUGUAAGUGCCCCAGGUUCUGGAAAAUGCCUUUCUCAGUCAUGGUGGGGCAGGAGUUUACCAGUUAUGCCCACAUCUGGGAAGCUUGACUCAGCAGCUGAUGCCUUUUUGGUCAUGUUGGUCAGCAGGCUGGGGGAGGGGGCCACUGUCAUGGCCCAGCACUUCUUGCAUGCCUAGGGCAGGCCCUCUGGCCUUCGCCUUUCCUGGCUGAGGCUUCCUUGUGCUCUCAGUGUGCCAGCUACACCUUCUUGUUUUCUCUAAUUGGUUUAGUGGGCCUGCCUUUCUGCCUACUUGGCAUAAUGAGUGUGGUCAUCUCUAGAGAGGGACUGACAUCUGGGUAUUUUCCACUCAUAGUGGCAGGGAGCCAGCUGUCCUCACGCCCUUGCCAUUGCUGAGUGACUGGACAGUCACAGGAUUUACGGCCACUCUUGUCCUGUGCCUGGAUCACAGGACCCAAACCACCCCGGAGUUAUCUAUUAGCCCCUAAACCAAAGGAGGCACUUGUCUUCCCAGGCACCAGGGAGGUUGAGCAACAAGGCGUCUGGAAGGAAUAGGGAGGUCUGCCUGUGGAGUGUUGGGUGCUGUCCUGAGUGGCCCUCUCUAUUUCCACACAUGUGGAAAUGGUGCUGUGUGCAGGACAAGGGAGUCAUUUUUGGUUUUGGUUUUGGUUUUACCAAACUUACAAGGUAAUAUUUUUAUUUUCUACACCAAACUUGCAAGUUAGUAUUUCUGUUCUCAUUUUGAAGAUGGGGAAAUUAAACCUGAAAGAUGAAGAAAGUUACUCAAGACCACAGGUGUACUGAGUUGCAAACCUGAUAAUAAAAUCCAUACUUUCGUGGGGGGGGGGAGCUUUUCCUAUUAUGUCCCAUUGCCUCUCCAAGGAAACAUGUCAAAGUGGGAAACGUAAACUUUACAGUGAAAAAUCGAAGGAAAGCACAGGCCAUGGAUUGAGCAAUGGUCUGAAAAUUAGAAUUAACAGAGUCAUGUGUCCUGAAUGCUGCCCUGGGACUUGUGUUGCCACAAACUGCCUGUUAAUAGUGCUCUGUCAGGGAUCGAGCCCUGACCAUGCAAACACUACUUCAUUUUAAUGAUAGCGGGUAGUCGGCACCUACAGUUCUGCCCUUAAAGAACUGGGCUGGCGCGCCUGGGUGGCUCAGUCGGUUAAGCCUUCGGCUCGGGUCACGAUCCCAGGGUCCUGGGAUCAAGCCCCACGUUGGGCUCCUUGUUCAGCGCGGAGCCUGCUUCUCCCUCUCUCUCUGUGUGCAAUUCCCCCUGCUUGUGUGUGCAUGCUCUCUCUCUCUCUGUCAAAUAAAUAAAAUCUUUAAAAUAUAUAUAUUAAAAAAAAAAGAACUGGGCUGAUAAUGUUCUUCACCGAGGUGCUAUAAUAAUGAAUAUGUUAAAAAGUGCUCAGAGAACUACAGUGAGGUACCUAUUAAACAUCACUGUUGGUCAAUACAGUAAAUUUAUAAAGUGGUUUAACAAAAUUUUUUUUUAUCAAGAAGGCAACUUUAUUAUUUUCCCACCUGUAACCAUCAGCCUGUUCUUUAUGAGUUUGGUUUUUCUGUUUUGUUUUGAGAGAGAGAGCGCAUGUGCAAGCUGGUGGCGGGGGGUGGGGGCAGAGGGAGAGAGAGAAUCUUAAGCAGGUUCCAUGCCCAGCGUGGAGCCCAGCUCGAGGCUCAAUCUCACCACCCCAAGGUUGUGACCUGAGCUGAAAUCAAGAGUUGGAUGCCCAACCAACUGAGCUACCCAGGCACCUCUGUGAGUUUGGUUUGUGUGUUUAGAUUCCACAUGUAAGAGAUCACGCAGUGUUUGUCUUUCUUACCUCACUUAACACAAUGCCCUCAGGUUCCAUCCAUGUUGCAAAUGUCAAGAUUUCUUCCUAUUUGUGGCUGAGUAAUAUUCCAUUGUAUAAAUUGCAUUUGCUUUAUCCGUUCAUCUGUGGAUGGACACUUGGGCUGCCUCCGUAAACUGGCUACUGUAAAUAAUGCUG